This 364-nucleotide long non-coding RNA is filed under the name Salmo salar (Atlantic salmon). Its description in RNAcentral is "lncRNA (ENSSSAG00000087916.1)". The record is from RNAcentral. Lineage: Eukaryota; Metazoa; Chordata; Actinopteri; Salmoniformes; Salmonidae.
GGAGGUGAGGACAGAGCGAGGAGAGAGGGGUGAGGACAGAAAGAGUAGUGAGGUGGUGAGCAUAGAGGGAGAAGAAAGGGGGUGAGGACAGAGGGAGGAGAGACGGAGUGAUGAUAGAGGGAGGAGAGACGGAGUGAUGACAGAGGGAGGAGAGACGGAGUGAGGACAGAGGGAGGAGAGACGGAGUGAGGACAGAGGGAGGAGAGACGGGGUGAGGACAGAGGGAGGAGAGAUGGAGUGAUGACAGAGGGAGGAGAGACAGAGUGAGGACAAAGGGAGGAGAGACAGGGUGAUGACAGAGGGAGGAGAGACAGGGUGAUGACAGAGGGAGGAGAGACGGAGUGAGGACAGACGGAGGAGAGAC